GGUCCUAUGGUCUAGUGGUUCCCGGUCGCCGUUCUCGGCACCGGCCGCAGAUGACGCCGGCCUCACACGCUGGAAAUCGAGGGUCCGAUCCCCUCUAGGACCA
Molecule: transfer RNA, 103 nt
Filed under: Promethearchaeota archaeon
Lineage: Archaea; Promethearchaeati; Promethearchaeota
Description: Candidatus Lokiarchaeota archaeon (anaerobic digester metagenome) tRNA-Val
Rfam family: tRNA
About the family: Transfer RNA (tRNA) molecules are approximately 80 nucleotides in length. Their secondary structure includes four short double-helical elements and three loops (D, anti-codon, and T loops).
Source: RNAcentral